Molecule: ribosomal RNA, 500 nt
Filed under: uncultured bacterium
Lineage: Bacteria
Description: partial 16S ribosomal RNA
Rfam family: Bacterial small subunit ribosomal RNA
Source: RNAcentral
AUUGAACGCUGGCGGCAUGCCUUACACAUGCAAGUCGAACGGCAGCACGGGAGCAAUCCUGGUGGCGAGUGGCGAACGGGUGAGUAAUAUAUCGGAACGUGCCCAGUCGUGGGGGAUAACGCAGCGAAAGCUGUGCUAAUACCGCAUACGAUCUAAGGAUGAAAGCGGGGGAUCGCAAGACCUCGCGCGAUUGGAGCGGCCGAUAUCAGAUUAGCUAGUUGGUGGGGUAAAGGCCCACCAAAGCGACGAUCUGUAGCUGGUCUGAGAGGACGACCAGCAACACUGGAACUGAGACACGGUCCAGACUCCUACGGGAGGCAGCAGUGGGGAAUUUUGGACAAUGGGCGCAAGCCUGAUCCAGCAAUGCCGCGUGCAGGAUGAAGGCCUUCGGGUUGUAAACUGCUUUUGUACGGAACGAAACGGCCCUUUCUAAUACAGGGGGCUAAUGACGGUACCGUAAGAAUAAGCACCGGCUAACUACGUGCCAGCAGCCGCCGCCG